Molecule: ribosomal RNA, 408 nt
Filed under: Russula aff. ochrocephala KS2833
Lineage: Eukaryota; Fungi; Basidiomycota; Agaricomycetes; Russulales; Russulaceae
Also listed under: 1 other name
Description: LSU rRNA
Rfam family: Bacterial large subunit ribosomal RNA
Source: RNAcentral
UCUCGGCAAAUUAUCCUCAUAAGUUUGACAAUAAGAGAAACCAUAUAAAAUUUAAAUUAGCCAUAAUUUAAUUAAUAAUAUGGAAUAAUAAAAUCGGAGGCCACGACUGUUUACUAAAAACACAAUUCAGAGCAAUGAUUAAGAUAAUAGUAUUCUGGAUGAAAUUUGCUCAAUGCCAUUAAUAUAAGAGAGGUAAUUUUAAAGUUACUAAUCGAAAAUCUGGUUAAUAGCGGUCUUAACUAUGAGGAUCCUAAGGUAGCAAAAUAAAUUGGCCAUUAAAUGUGGUCUUGUAUCAAUAAUGUAACGAUGGUCUCACUGUCUCUACAACUUGCUCAGUGAAAUUGAAUUGCGAGUGCAGAUGCUCGCUGUCUUCAGAGGGACGGGAAGACCCUAUGCAGCUUCUACUGA